Molecule: ribosomal RNA, 527 nt
Filed under: uncultured bacterium
Lineage: Bacteria
Description: bacterial SSU rRNA
Rfam family: Bacterial small subunit ribosomal RNA
Source: RNAcentral
AAUAGAUACCCGGGUAGUCCACGCCGUAAACGAUGAAUACUAGGUGUGGGAGUUAUCGUGACUUCCGUGCCGCAGUUAACACAAUAAGUAUUCCGCCUGAGGAGUACGGUCGCAAGAUUAAAACUCAAAGGAAUUGACGGGGGCCCGCGACAAGCAGCGGAGCAUGUGGUUUAAUUCGAAGCAACGCGAAGAACCUUACCUAGACUUGACAUCAUUCUGCAUACUCAGUAAUGUGAGGAAGCCUCCUUUUCGGGGGCGGAAUGACAGGUGGUGCAUGGUUGUCGUCAGCUCGUGUCGUGAGAUGUUGGGUUAAGUCCCGCAACGAGCGCAACCCUUGUCGUUAGUUGCUACCAUUAAGUUGAGCACUCUAGCGAGACUGCCGCGGUUAACGCGGAGGAAGGUGGGGAUGACGUCAAAUCAUCAUGCCCCUUAUGUCUAGGGCUACACACGUGCUACAAUGGGCAGUACAAUGUGAUGCAAUCCCGUNAGGGGANCUAAACNCGAAAACUGUUCCCAGUUCGGAUUGC